Long non-coding RNA from Bos taurus (domestic cattle), 985 nucleotides. The record is from Ensembl. NCBI's taxonomy places the organism in Eukaryota, Metazoa, Chordata, Mammalia, Artiodactyla, Bovidae.
GCUUUCUUCAAAGGCAGUUUAACAUCACCAGGUGGGUGUUUGUUAAGUCCCUGAAAAAUUGCCUUAAUGGUCCUUGUAUAGGUUCAAAUCCUUGGAAUUCUGUCUGUGACCUCUUCUCUCAGAAAGGCAAAACAUGGAUGGCAGUGAUAAAGCUUUGCUUUUGGGAGUCAGGAUUCAUUUUGAGCAGAGCCAAAAAGAGCUUUGGAAGAUGAGCUCUCUGCUAUUCCAAUAACAGAGCAAAAAAUUAUCUCUUCUGAGAGCUUGAAGAAAAAAAUGUCCAAACAGUUGGCCCGUUCAUUCUGUGGAUCAACAAAAUUCCUGCAGAUCAACAAAAUUCCUGCAGUGAAGAGGAAUCCAGAAAAUGGAAUCUUGUUUAACCUUGUUUAAUCCAAUUCUUCAGUCUUCUGUCAUGUAUCUUAUAUGGCUCUUUUGCCCACCCAAAUUGCAAAUGUGGGAAGAAAGACACCUUCAUUACUGAGAACUCAGACAUGAUGGAUGAUGAUGUAAUGAUUGAUUUGCCAUUGCUGGAAAACUGAGCUGUACAUGUUAAAACCUCAUUGGAGAGAAGCAAGAUUAAACAAGAAUGUGGCUAUUAAUGUGGUUCGGAGAAACAUGAAAUAAUGUGCCUUUGGAGGCUUUUAAUGCAUACACAAAUGUAUAGUUUUAUAAACAUACUCAUAAAUAGUUAUCAGUCAAUCACUCAUGUAUGCUACAAAUACUGCUGAGCACCUACUAAGUUGAAAAAAAAAUGUGUAUGAUGUUGGAAUAUAGAAAGAAAAACAAGACAGUGAGAACUUGGUUUCAAAGAAUGCAUGGCUUAUAACUGAGGUAUGGCAUAGACCCAGCAGUCCCCAACCUUUUUGGUACCAGGGUCCGGCUUCAUGGAAGACAAUUUUUCCGUGGACCAGUGGGCAGUGUAGGUGUGGGUGUGUGUGUGUGUGUGUAGGCACACAUUUUGGGGAAGUGGUUUCUGGAUGGCUCAAGU